CCGAAAGACGCUUUGAAGAGCAGGUGAAAAAAGCACAAGUGGGUUGUAUUGCCCCGCUCGGAUUCCAUAUGGCUCUGGCAUUGCUCUUCUUGAUGGCCAUGCUGGUUGCAGGUUCUAUGCAGGAUGCUCAACAGGGCACGCACCUUAGGCUGCGUCGUGGCUUCGGUUGCCCGUACAACGAGUUUGCGUGUGUCAGACAGUGCGUCGACGCCGGCAAGCGCCACGGCUUCUGCGGAAGGAACGGCGUCUGCCAAUGCGUCGGCUGAAAAGAGCGGAGCGCUCGCCCGCCGACGUCACCUCGCGACGUCACAAGUCUCACUCAGACGGACGACUGCACUGUUUGGCUGAAUGAAGUGUCUGCCAAUAAACUUUUCCCAAUUCAUG
Long non-coding RNA from Rhipicephalus microplus (southern cattle tick), 384 nucleotides. NCBI's taxonomy places the organism in Eukaryota, Metazoa, Arthropoda, Arachnida, Ixodida, Ixodidae. The record is from RefSeq and is a predicted model, not a curated record.